UGGGGAAUAUUGCACAAUGGGCGCAAGCCUGAUGCAGCCAUGCCGCGUGUAUGAAGAAGGCCUUCGGGUUGUAAAGUACUUUCAGCGGGGAGGAAGGCGAUAAGGUUAAUAACCUUGUCGAUUGACGUUACCCGCAGAAGAAGCACCGGCUAACUCCGUGCCAGCAGCCGCGGUAAUACGGAGGGUGCAAGCGUUAAUCGGAAUUACUGGGCGUAAAGCGCACGCAGGCGGUCUGUCAAGUCGGAUGUGAAAUCACCGGGCUCAACCUGGGAACUGCAUUCGAAACUGGCAGGCUAGAGUCUUGUAGAGGGGGGUAGAAUUCCAGGUGUAGCGGUGAAAUGCGUAGAGAUCUGGAGGAAUACCGGUGGCGAAGGCGGCCCCCUGGACAAAGACUGACGCUCAGGUGCGAAAGCGUGGGGAGCAAACA
This 427-nucleotide ribosomal RNA is filed under the name uncultured bacterium. Its description in RNAcentral is "partial 16S ribosomal RNA". It matches the Rfam family "Bacterial small subunit ribosomal RNA", at positions 355 to 774 of the family's 1533-position model. The record is from RNAcentral.